RNAcentral lists this long non-coding RNA (806 nucleotides) under Phoenix dactylifera (date palm). RNAcentral's name for it is "long non-coding RNA (PDAC_LNC018054)". The record is from RNAcentral. Lineage: Eukaryota; Viridiplantae; Streptophyta; Magnoliopsida; Arecales; Arecaceae.
AUUGCCAGGGGCGGCCCAAAACAUUUGGGGGCCUAAGGCGAACUCUCUAGAAGAGGCCUUUUUUUUUUCAAAUAAUAAAUUUUUUUAAUAAUUAUAAAAUAUUUUAAAAUUUUAUUUAAAAAUAAUUCGUCUAGCUUUUUGAGAUGCAAAAUUACUAAUCAAAUUUUUAUACUCAAGAUCCAUUAAAAUACUAUUUUCACUUCUAAAUUAAUCCACCUAUUCAUUUGAUAAUAACAUUAUCAAAUAAAGCAAUUAAAAAAACACCAUAAAUAAAUCAAAAUAUAAAAAAGUUAAAAAUGAUAUAACUUGAUUGUGUCAAGAAAAACAAACUCAGAUCCCGACAAGUAGUGCCGAACUUAAUUGUGUCGAGAAAAGGCCGAAUAGUGCCGAACUUGACAACGAAAAGAGGCCGAACCGCCGAAGUCACAACGAACCUACAAUUGGACCAAAAAUCUUUUUGUUCAGUAAUCAGUAAUCAUUAAUCACUAAUCAGUAUAUACCAUUUGAUGAAGUACAUUAAUCCUGGUUUUCUUUUUUUGAUGAAGUACAAAAAAAAAUAAUGAAAGACAACUACAGUCUACAGAACACCAUCUAAUUUAGGAAUACCAUAUUAUGCUAACAUGUCUGAUGUCUCCCCAAAGCUAUUUAAAAUGUCUAAACUCUGCCGUGGAGUGUGGACGAUGAACUUUGGGCCUUUGGCAUUUGGCAAACGAACCUUAAGUUCUUGCCUCUCGAAAGUUGGAGCCGGAGGAUGGUGCCACGGUGGUGACGGUGCCUCAUGACUCAGGUGGUCGGUGGACCGUGAA